The sequence is a ribosomal RNA, 437 nucleotides long. It matches the Rfam family "Bacterial small subunit ribosomal RNA", at positions 341 to 792 of the family's 1533-position model.
ACGGGAGGCAGCAGUGGGGAAUAUUGGGCAAUGGGCGAAAGCCUGACCCAGCAACGCCGCGUGAAGGAAGAAGGUUUUCGGAUUGUAAACUUCUUUUAUCAGGGACGAAGGAAGUGACGGUACCUGAUGAAUAAGCCACGGCUAACUACGUGCCAGCAGCCGCGGUAAUACGUAGGUGGCAAGCGUUAUCCGGAUUUACUGGGUGUAAAGGGCGCGUAGGCGGGGAUGCAAGUCAGGUGUGAAAUCCAUGGGCUUAACCCAUGAACUGCACUUGAAACUGUAUCUCUUGAGUGUCGGAGAGGUAGACGGAAUUCCUAGUGUAGCGGUGAAAUGCGUAGAUAUUAGGAGGAACACCAGUGGCGAAGGCGGUCUACUGGACUGUAACUGACGUUGAGGCUCGAAAGCGUGGGGAGCAAACAGGAUUAGAUACCCUGGUA